RNAcentral lists this non-coding RNA (27 nucleotides) under Rattus norvegicus (Norway rat). The record is from RNAcentral. Lineage: Eukaryota; Metazoa; Chordata; Mammalia; Rodentia; Muridae.
UAGGCAGGACAAAAUGGUCUGACUUGU